UAGAACUAUGUUUGUAUGGAAUGGGAUCGUUUGCCUACGUUUGCCGUUAGGGGCGCUGUUCCAACUGCAUACAAAAUUGGGUUA
This 84-nucleotide microRNA precursor is filed under the name Bombyx mori (domestic silkworm). RNAcentral's name for it is "mir-2807 microRNA precursor family". It matches the Rfam family "mir-2807 microRNA precursor family". The record is from Rfam by way of RNAcentral. Lineage: Eukaryota; Metazoa; Arthropoda; Insecta; Lepidoptera; Bombycidae.